Molecule: long non-coding RNA, 1821 nt
Filed under: Sus scrofa (pig)
Lineage: Eukaryota; Metazoa; Chordata; Mammalia; Artiodactyla; Suidae
Description: lncRNA (ENSSSCG00065036500.1)
Source: RNAcentral
UUUCAGCCAAUGAGAGAGCUACCAGAGUGAGCUGGUGAGCUGGGGGAAAUAAGUGGCCUGACUUCACUCUCCUCCUUCCCUCCUUCAAAUCUCUUGACAGAGUUCCCUACGAGCCAAAGCCACAGAGUUCAACCUCCUGGAGCCUAGCACAGAAGAUAAAGGUGGAGAUGGAAUUUGAAUGAACAAAUGAAAGAGUUGUAUCAUAUGCAGCCAAUCCAAUACAAUUAGAAUUUGCAUUAUCUCUUUAUGACACUGAGCAAAUAAAUACCUAAGCGUCAAACCAUUGCAAAAUGCCAGCCACUCCAGAAGGCACUGAAAACUCAAUGCCCAGACCUUACUUUCAAGCUACUCAUACUAAUAAGAAGAUCAAAUUAACAGAAGACAUAUACAGUGUGUUGCAUUUGGUGCAAUGCAGGAAAGAGCCUCGCUGGACUUGUGAUGGCUUGGAGAAGGGUAGUUAUCUGCAUGAUUUCUCAGCACAAGGUGGCAGCUGGCAAGGGAAAUUGCACUGACUGCAGUCCUUCAAGAAGAGAGAGAGAUGAGUCCUUGGGACUGGGCAUUUUGUUCCAUGAAGAGAACUGAAAUGGGGUGGGGAAUGGGAAUGGACUAAAUGGGCAAGGCAAAUGAAAGAAAGAUUGAUGUUGAUCUGAGGGGUACCUGACUCAUUCACAUAUAUUUCCCCUAAAAGACAGGCUACAAAGAAACUGAAAUCUACACACAAUGAAGGGUUGGAAUGAAGAAAGAAUGAAACAUUUUCAAGGGUAGUUCUCACUAGCUACUCUAUCUCCAAAUAUUUGAAGCAAUCAUUUUUUUUUUCCUAGGGAGUUUCCGUUGUGACUCAGCAGGUUAAGAACCCGAAAUAGUGUCUGUCAGGAUGAGGGUUCCAUCCCUGGCUUCACUCAGUGGGUUAAGGAUCCAGCAUUGCCAUGAGCUGUGGCGUAGGAUCCCAUGUUGCUGUGGCUGUGGCAUAGGUUGGCAGCUGCAGCUCCAAUUCGACCCCUAGCCUUGGAACUUCCAUAUGCUGCAGGUGUGGGCCUAAAAAAAAAACAAAAUUGUCUCUUCAUCUAAUCCAGGGUACUCAUUUAGGAAAUGUAACUAAGUUCUCAGAAAGAAAAUAUCAUAGUAAGAACUUGCCACUUUGUCAAAUUUAUCACCUAAAAUUUUCUUGCACUCUGAUUCUCUAAGGAGAAGCUUUUUAUAAUAAGUAGACAGCUGCUUGUGUUUUUGAUUAGAAAUACUUUGGAGACAAGGAAAGGGGAGUAUAGGGAUCCUGUGGGUCUUUUUCCCAUUUGUUAAAAAAAUGUAAGUUAAAUACCCACUCAAAGAGUUUAACUCAGCUCCAGUCCUAUGCUUGCCAUACAAUUGUCUUUGCUUUGUAAGCUUUAUUGUGACUUUAUCAAUUAUUGACAAUUUAUUUGAUAGGUCUCUGGCCCCUUUCUUAUAGCAGAUGUUUCAUUUAAUGGACAAGUUUCUGGGAGACAAGUAGAACCAUUCACCUGAGACUGUGUGGGUACUGGCAUACUUGGUCCAUAAUAUUAGGUUUAUGGAAGUACUGAAAAUAGCAUGAUAUACAGGCACAUUUUAUAUAUGUCAUAGUCUUUUCCAGGAGAAAAGGAUAACAGUGAAUUUUCUCAGAUAGCUAUAUUUUAUUCAUGCACAUAUUCAACAAAAAUUGAAUGAGCACUUAUAAAGGGCAGAUGUUAAAAACAAAAUAGAGCCCUCUUAGAGAUCACAAUGCAGUGUGAGAGAUGUCCAAAGAUUUUAUAACUUAUAAUAAGCAUAAUUAAGGAAAAAUAAAACACAUAAUGAGAAGGUAUAGCA